ACUGUCCAGUCUUGCGCAAGGUCACUUCAUGCCCUUUGACACACGUACUAUAGUGGUCAGCACACAGCAUAUACUGUACAUGUAAAUAUGACCUUGCCUCAACCAGAAAAACCGUUAGGCCACAUUGCGCUAGCCUGCAUGCAGUUCAGUUCUACUACUCAUUCAAAAUGGUUAAAGACGGAGCAGGCACAAAUGUAUCGUCUUCUCGAAAAAACACUGAUUACAUGUAUUGUAUUCAGUUCCAAAUCCGCGUCCAAAAGCAUCACACAUGUCUGUAAACAUACAGCUUAUUAGUCAGAGUUAAUAUUCCUGCAGCACCAUGGUCUUUGCGGAAUGGGAGAUAGUUUGGACAGAACCUUUCGUUUCUGGAGCCCUGUUCUUUCAAACCUACAGUUUGUUGUAGGCCUUACUGGGAGCCAUGGACACAAUGGAACAGUCAAUCGAUACGUGAGGAGAGGAGUUUUGCAACAGAGACGGGUGCGACAGUGACGGGAAAAGGCUCAGGAGACACUGGAGAAGCACGUAUAUAUAGGAACAAUCUGCAGCAAAUUAAGUGACUCGGAGUGUAAUUGUUAUAACCAUUUGAAGCACGCGAACUGGAUAUCAAAACAGUGACGUUAUUUCUGCAAGGCUUCAGUGUUACAGCUUUGGUGUUUUUCAUCUUUGAUUCGAUAAAAUUUGACCAGUACAUGAAAGUUCUGUGCUUCCCAGGACCUGUUUCCCCAGGUCUGUACAUUUCUCCAUUUUUUUGUCAAUAUUAUGAUGAUCUGAGACUGAAUGUUAAUUGCCCUGGAUUUAUCAAGCCAUUGAAGUUUCCUGUAAAUUUACUCACCGAGAUAUUGAGACGAGUUUCAUAAUUAAAACGAAUAGGCUAGCUUUACUGUUUUAGCGUGGAUUGUGGCCUAAUUAUGAAACGAGAGGCAUUAAACUCAAACCAAAACCUUCCCUCUUUUAUCCUCAACAUUCAAAUUUACAUGUAAGUUGGAUUGUGGAAAAUCAUCUAGCCAUCAAAAAAAUCUUGUAAAAAUCAAGUGUAAAAUAACUUCCACCACCAUCUUGAUAGUUUUUCAUGGUUCAAGACUUCUGCAUCUAUUUAUUUGAAAAGCCAAUUAUAAUAUUUCAUUGAUUAUGAUGAUACACAUUUUGUAAAUAGUGUCAAAUAUAUACAACGUACAGUAUUUGCCAAAACA
Long non-coding RNA from Patiria miniata (bat star), 1190 nucleotides. RefSeq lists it as uncharacterized. The transcript has 2 exons. The record is from RefSeq and is a predicted model, not a curated record. NCBI's taxonomy places the organism in Eukaryota, Metazoa, Echinodermata, Asteroidea, Valvatida, Asterinidae.